GCAGUUUCUGCUUUCUUGUUGGCUUGGCGGUGCUUUCCUUCCUCUGUGGAGAGAAGACAGAAAAGGGAUGUUUCCCCGCUUUCCGUCCGUCGUGUAUUCCCCCUUAUGUCUUCUGUAAGAACGAGAGGGAUGGGCUCCCCGCUAACACUUUUUCAGAUAUUCCCCCUUCCAAGGACGCUUUCUCGAGCCUUUUUCCCUCAUCCCUUUUGGUUUGGGGACGACAAGUACUUCGUCUCGAGUAGGACACCGGUGAUCUCUACAUUCACCUAUGUAAUUUCGAAAUCUGCUUUCAAGCAGCUCCGUUUUCUAAGGGAGAGUGGACUAAAAAAAGGAGAAGCGUCAUGCGUCAU
RNAcentral lists this long non-coding RNA (350 nucleotides) under Nicotiana benthamiana. RNAcentral describes it as "long non-coding RNA (NBEN_LNC010813)". Lineage: Eukaryota; Viridiplantae; Streptophyta; Magnoliopsida; Solanales; Solanaceae. The record is from RNAcentral.